This 253-nucleotide ribosomal RNA is filed under the name uncultured bacterium. RNAcentral describes it as "partial 16S ribosomal RNA". It matches the Rfam family "Bacterial small subunit ribosomal RNA", at positions 524 to 776 of the family's 1533-position model. The record is from RNAcentral.
GACGAACUGUCCUAACGUUGUUCGGAAUCACUGGGCGUAAAGCGCACGUAGGCGGACUCUUAAGUCGGUGGUGAAAUCCUGGAGCUCAACUCCAGAACUGCCUUUGAUACUGAAGAUCUUGAGUUCGGGAGAGGUGAGUGGAACUGCGAGUGUAGAGGUGAAAUUCGUAGAUAUUCGCAAGAACACCAGUGGCGAAGGCAGCCCCCUGGGCUAAGACUGACGCUCAGGCACGAAAGCGUGGGGAGCAAACAGG